UACGUAGGGGCUAGCGUUAUCCGGAAUUACUGGGCGUAAAGGGUGCGUAGGUGGUUUCUUAAGUCAGAGGUGAAAGGCUACGGCUCAACCGUAGUAAGCCUUUGAAACUGGGAAACUUGAGUGCAGGAGAGGAGAGUGGAAUUCCUAGUGUAGCGGUGAAAUGCGUAGAUAUUAGGAGGAACACCAGUUGCGAAGGCGGCUCUCUGGACUGUAACUGACACUGAGAAGCGAAAGCGUGGGGAGCAAACAGGCUUAGAUACCCUGGUAGUCCCUGAG
This 276-nucleotide ribosomal RNA is filed under the name uncultured prokaryote. RNAcentral's name for it is "partial 16S ribosomal RNA". It matches the Rfam family "Bacterial small subunit ribosomal RNA", at positions 524 to 801 of the family's 1533-position model. The record is from RNAcentral.